CUACGGGUGGCAGCAGUGGGGAAUAUUGGACAAUGGGGGAAACCCUGACCCAGCAAUGCCGCGUGUGUGAAGAAGGCCUGCGGGUUGUAAAGCACUUUCGGUUGGGAGGACUGCUUCUAGCACUAAUAUUGUUGGAAGUUGACGUUACCUUCAGAAGAAGCACCGGCUAACUCCGUGCCAGCAGCCGCGGUAAUACGGAGGGUGCAAGCGUUAAUCGGAAUUACUGGGCGUAAAGCGCGCGUAGGCGGCUAGAUCAGUCGGGUGUGAAAGCCCCGGGCUUAACCUGGGAACUGCAUCCGAUACUGUCUAGCUUGAGUACAGGAGAGGAGAGUGGAAUUCCACAUGUAGCGGUGAAAUGCGUAGAUAUGUGGAGGAACACCAAUGGCGAAGGCAGCUCUCUGGCCUGAUACUGACGCUGAGGUGCGAAAGCGUGGGGGGCAAACAGGAUUAGAUACCCGGGUAGUC
Molecule: ribosomal RNA, 465 nt
Filed under: uncultured bacterium
Lineage: Bacteria
Description: partial 16S ribosomal RNA
Rfam family: Bacterial small subunit ribosomal RNA
Source: RNAcentral